Molecule: unclassified non-coding RNA, 367 nt
Filed under: uncultured bacterium
Lineage: Bacteria
Description: contains 16S-23S intergenic spacer region
Source: RNAcentral
UCCGGGUUGGACCCGGCCGGAUUAUUCAUCCGCCGCUGGCAACUGGACGCGGGGGUUGCGCUCGUUGCGGGACUUAACCCAACAUCUCACGACACGAGCUGACGACAGCCAUGCAGCAUCUGUGCACGGACUCCGAAGAGCGACCCUGAUCUCUCAAGAUCUUCCCGUGCAUGUCAAGCCCAGGUAAGGUUCUUCGCGUUGCGUCGAAUUAAACCACAUGCUCCACCGCUUGUGCGGGCCCCCGUCAAUUCCUUUGAGUUUCAGCCUUGCGGCCGUACUCCCCAGGCGGUCAACUUCACGCGUUAGCUUCGUUACCAAGGAAUUGCUUCCCCGACAACCAGUUGACAUAGUUUAGGGCGUGGACUAC